UCAUAACACCUUAGCUGCACACCAUCUCCAUGAUGGAGGUGGCAGUGCAGGACUGCUGUCAUUGAUCGUAGUGUGAUGGCGUGCCAUCUUUUCCAACUCACUUACUUCAAUAUUAUUCAUGUACAGAAUUCCAUUUUUUUAGAUCUCCAAGUUGGGACUGAGAAUGGUGAAUAUAUUACUAAAGUGUAUAGAAAACCCACAUAUAUGCCUGUAUUAAUACCGGCUUGGUCACAUGACCCUAUGCCUACAAGCUUGCAAGUUUUAAAUCUAUAUUUACUAGGGCGUAUACCCAUGUUACAAAAUGGCAAGAUAGAGCACAAGAAUUAGCAUAUAUUUUUGCCCAAAGACGUAAGUAUGGCUUUACUGAUAAGCUAAUGCAAGGUGUAUGGAAUAAAAUUUGUAAUCUAUGCAGAAGACAUCAGGGGUCACCCCCCGUGUACAACAAGACACUGAUGCCUGCCCCUUCGCAAACAUUACAUAUUAUGAUAUCACAGACAAGAUCUUAAGUAGGGCUUUGAAGGAGGGGGUAUAGAAUGGCCUGGAAAAAAGGCCCCACGAUAUUUAACAUCCUACAUAAUGAGAAAGACCAUAUUCUGAAGAAUAGGAAAUUUGGGGUAUACUCAGUUCCCCUAUAUAAUAAAGAUGAAGGGACAAUGCAAU
Molecule: long non-coding RNA, 660 nt
Filed under: Androctonus crassicauda
Lineage: Eukaryota; Metazoa; Arthropoda; Arachnida; Scorpiones; Buthidae
Source: RNAcentral